CAUCAUGAAUGGCGGCCGGUCUAGAGCCGGGCCUUGCCACGGGCAUCUCGUCAGAUUCAGGAGCGGCGCCCUAAAGAAAAUAGUCCCCGUCCCAGACGCCCAAAGCCGGCAUCAAUCACCAAAGGACGACUUCAGCCAUCAUAUCCCCCCGCGAAGCAACCGAUGGAAACGGAUUCCUUCUCUAUACUACCGCCUACUUACGUGUUUGAUCGUAUAAAGAAGGCCGAGAUCUCGCCGCCUGGAGUAUUUAUCCAACGCAAAAGGUCUCGCGAGAUUUGCUCAACGGCCGCGUGAUAUUUCCGGAGCGAGAGCCAAUGCGCAGGCGCAGGAAGGCUGGUCUAUAGUCUGCCAGUGGAGGGGAACCCCGGAACGAGCAUGAUUUUGCAAAAACGUAUAAAAGGUGGUGAAGGGCACGCACGUGGUGGCAUUUUCCCACUGGCACGGCAUUACCGAAGAAGAGAGCAUCUUGAACAACUCAGAGAGAGAAGUGGAGAAGCUGAUUCAUCUUGUACUGGGAAAGAGGAGUUGGAACAGACAACGAUCCUUGAGGCUGCCUUCAGAUUGCAGGGGAUCUGACCUUUUGUUGCUCUGGCAUGCCAUUCUUUUUGCACUGAUCAAACAGGCUAAUGUAGGAGUGCAUGGGGUUCAUCAAAUUCUUAAAUAGGGGGAAAGUAACUGAAGUGUAGCUUGGAGAGUAAAGUUUGGUAGUCUUGAAUUAUAAGUCUUUGUAAGGUAGUUAUUCAGUUGGUACAUGUGGGUGACUGAUGGGAAGGACUGUCUAUUAUUUUACAAAUAAAAUCAAACUGACAGUUCACUAUGCUGCUUGAGUUUUUAUGUACUUUGUUGUUCUGGUAGUGGGUAGGAUUUAGUCUUCAAGGUUGUGUGGGUGAUUCAGUCGGCUUUUAUGUUUGAAACAUGGCUUGCUGGAUACAGUCAGCUACGUCUUAUUUUAUCAACGAUAUAUAGAUAAUAAACAGGAUUAUUCUCUCA
Long non-coding RNA from Sphaerodactylus townsendi, 990 nucleotides. RefSeq lists it as uncharacterized. Lineage: Eukaryota; Metazoa; Chordata; Lepidosauria; Squamata; Sphaerodactylidae. The record is from RefSeq and is a predicted model, not a curated record. The transcript is spliced from 2 exons.